Molecule: transfer RNA, 62 nt
Organism: Ovis aries (sheep)
Lineage: Eukaryota; Metazoa; Chordata; Mammalia; Artiodactyla; Bovidae
Rfam family: tRNA
About the family: Transfer RNA (tRNA) molecules are approximately 80 nucleotides in length. Their secondary structure includes four short double-helical elements and three loops (D, anti-codon, and T loops). Further hydrogen bonds mediate the characteristic L-shaped molecular structure. tRNAs have two regions of fundamental functional importance: the anti-codon, which is responsible for specific mRNA codon recognition, and the 3' end, to which the tRNAs corresponding amino acid is attached (by aminoacyl-tRNA synthetases). tRNAs cope with the degeneracy of the genetic code in two manners: having more than one tRNA (with a specific anti-codon) for a particular amino acid; and 'wobble' base-pairing, i.e. permitting non-standard base-pairing at the 3rd anti-codon position.
Source: Rfam
UCCAGACUGUAAAAAACCUGCCUGCAAUGCAGGAGACCCAGGUUCAAUCCCUGGGUCAGGAA